GUCCAGACUCCUACGGGAGGCAGCAGUGGGGGAUAUUGCACAAUGGGGGGAACCCUGAUGCAGCGACGCCGCGUGGGUGAAGGAGCGUUUCGGCGCGUAAAGCCCUAUCGGCAGGGAAGAAGGAGGACGGUACCUGACUAAGAAGCCCCGGCUAACUACGUGCCAGCAGCCGCGGUAAUACGUAGGGGGCAAGCGUUAUCCGGAUUUACUGGGUGUAAAGGGGGCGCAGACGGCAGCGCAAGCCAGAAGUGAAAGCCCGGGGCUCAACUCCGGGACUGCUUUUGAAACUGUUGAACUAGAUUGCAGGAGAGGUAAGUGGAAUUCCUAGUGUAGCGGUGAAAUGCGUAGAUAUUAGGAGGAACACCAGUGGCGAAGGCGGCUUACUGGACUGUAAAUGACGCUGAGGCUCGAAAGCGUGGGGAGCAAACAGGAUUAGAUACCCCAGUAAA
This 449-nucleotide ribosomal RNA is filed under the name uncultured bacterium. Its description in RNAcentral is "bacterial SSU rRNA". It matches the Rfam family "Bacterial small subunit ribosomal RNA", at positions 329 to 794 of the family's 1533-position model. The record is from RNAcentral.